AACGAACGCUGGCGGCAGGCCUAACACAUGCAAGUCGAGCGAGGACUUCGGUCCUAGCGGCGGACGGGUGAGUAACGCGUGGGAACGUGCCCUUUGCUUCGGAAUAGCCCUGGGAAACUGGGAGUAAUACCGGAUGAGCCCUUUGGGGGAAAGAUUUAUCGGCGAAGGAUCGGCCCGCGUUGGAUUAGGUAGUUGGUGGGGUAAUGGCCUACCAAGCCGACGAUCCAUAGCUGGGUUGAGAGGAUGAUCAGCCACACUGGGACUGAGACACGGCCCAGACUCCUACGGGAGGCAGCAGUGGGGAAUCUUAGACAAGGGGGGAAACCCUGAUCGAGCCAUGCCGCGUGAGCGAUGAAGGCCUUAGGGUUGUAAAGCUCUUUCAGCUGGGAAGAUAAUGACGGUACCAGCAGAAGAAGCCCCGGCUAACUCCGUG
RNAcentral lists this ribosomal RNA (433 nucleotides) under uncultured bacterium. RNAcentral describes it as "partial 16S ribosomal RNA". It matches the Rfam family "Bacterial small subunit ribosomal RNA", at positions 29 to 507 of the family's 1533-position model. The record is from RNAcentral.